RNAcentral lists this ribosomal RNA (462 nucleotides) under uncultured Acholeplasma sp. Its description in RNAcentral is "bacterial SSU rRNA". It matches the Rfam family "Bacterial small subunit ribosomal RNA", at positions 915 to 1382 of the family's 1533-position model. Lineage: Bacteria; Bacillati; Mycoplasmatota; Mollicutes; Acholeplasmatales; Acholeplasmataceae. The record is from RNAcentral.
GGGACCCCGCACAAGCGGUGGAUCAUGUUGUUUAAUUUCGAUGAUACGCGAAGAACCUUUACCAGGUCUUGAUAUCCCUUGCAAAGCUAUGGAGACAUAGUGGAGGUUAUCAAGGAGACAGGUGGUGCAUGGUUGUCGUCAGCUCGUGUCGUGAGAUGUUGGGUUAAGUCCCGCAACGAGCGCAACCCUUAUUGCUAGUUACCAUCAUUAAGUUGGGGACUCUAGCGAGACUGCCAGUGAUAAACUGGAGAAGUGGGGAUGACGUCAAAUCAUCAUGCCCCUUAUGACCUGGGCUACAAACGUGAUACAAUGGCUGAAACAAAGGGCAGCGAAGCAGUGAUGUGGAGCGAAACCCAAAAAAGCAGUCUCAGUUCGGAUUGAAGUCUGCAACUCGACUUCAUGAAGUUGGAAUCGCUAGUAAUCGUAGAUCAGAACGCUACGGUGAAUACGUUCUCGGGGUUU